This is a long non-coding RNA of Equus quagga, 1638 nucleotides long. RefSeq lists it as uncharacterized. NCBI's taxonomy places the organism in Eukaryota, Metazoa, Chordata, Mammalia, Perissodactyla, Equidae. The record is from RefSeq and is a predicted model, not a curated record. The transcript is spliced from 3 exons.
CCCUGAGAGUCCAAGAAAUCUUUCUUUCGACUCCUUGGCUCACCGACCCCACAUCAUUUCUGGUGGCCCGUACAGGGAUCUUGCUUCACCGGCUUGUGAGCUCAAGUUCUGGUAAGUACCGUUUUUGCUUUGUGCCUUUCUCUUUUCGAGGAUGGAUCUAAAUUCACUUCUCCAUCGGAAACCUUCUCAGACAGCUGUAUCAAUCCACGUUUGCUGCCCAUGGCUACUCUAUGGGGCAAAUCUUGGCAUUCAGCCUGAAAAGAAUCAAUACCUUAAGCCUGAGGGUGAUAAAGAAUGAAUUAAUCCAUUCCUUCCUAAUCCUAUUCUAAAAUAUAAAUUUUACAUGGGCAGGGGUGACCACUUAAGUCAUUAGGACAGUCGCCAAUCUCCAAGACUCCCGUGGCAGGUUUCUUUUCCUAAGACUGGAUGGGUAUCCCUCCCUAUGGUUCCUGACCACACUCUGAACUGCGGGAAAGUCCCAACCGGGACUCCAGUUGAAGGAAAGUACCAAACUUUAAACUUUGGUUCAAUAUGGGAACCCCUUCUUGGGAGAACGGCUCCAGGAUGUAAUUGGGUAAAAUGUCCCCCAGACCAGCGGAAAAUUCCUCACUGUUUUUCUCUAUUUUUCUUUUAUCUCUGGGACCAUUCACCAGGCACCUAUUACUACCAGGCAUAAUAGGGAAAGUAUACAAGGGAUGCAAUGCUGGGGGACGCCCCCAUUACCCCUUGCUAUAGGAACCCCACAGGAGGAAUGAUGGGUAGGAUGCUGCCCUGGGUUCAGGGGGUUGUCAAGGUAAUGGACCCUUUUCUUUCAUUUCUCUUAAAGUUAUAGUGGCCAUUUUGGGUUCCUUUUGAGCUUUGCAACCGAGAAACAAAGGAAUCUUUAAAGAGUCAAAGGCUCCACCCCGGGAGCUCCCCCUACCCCGGUUUCCAAAAUUAAGAGCUCUAAUUGGCUUAAAAGAAAUUCAUGGAAAGGAUUCUGACACAGGAUUCCAGAAAACACUUUUCUGAUAAACUUUCAGAUCAUAAUACUGAACUGGGUAAGAAAUUACAGAAUUCUAAUAGAGAAACAAAGCUCAUAAAUCUGCUAACAGAAGAUUAAGAUCAAGAAUCAAUUAUAUAAGACUGAAUGAACUGAUGAGGAUGAUUAUAAUUUUUUAUGAAUUUUUUUGAAAUAUUGUUGAUUUCUUGAUGUUUUGUUUCAUUUUCUCAGAUUUAAGGAAAUAUUUUUCUCUUUUCUCUUAUGCUAUGACUUGUAACAAUUUGGUGAAAUUAUACCUUUGUGAGCAUAACUGAAACAUUUAUCUUUUUCUCCCUAUCAGAUCCCUCCAGAUUUUGGAAACUUAGUGAGGGAUCUGUACACCUUGUCAGCCUUGGACUCCAUGGAUGCAACCUUCCAGUCCACUGAACGUCCUGCCUGUACCCCUGUGGUCCCCAUUUAGGGACAGCUCUACGACCUUGUACGGCCGGGAGUAGUUACAGAAGACUGACCAUUGUCCAUAUCGCCAAAGGAUUUCCAGGCCAAAUGGGUUCAGGGAGGAUUUCAUGAUGAGGAUCAAGGCUGCCCCAGGGAGAGAAGCCCAAGGCGUCCUGGCCUACAUGUCAAUCUAUAUCACCCUCCAGGAAGCAUAGGACAUC